ACUUACCACUACCUCCUCGUCUCUGUCUCCUUGAUUUUUGAUCCCAACAUGCUCAAAUGACGGAUCUCCCGUGAAGCGCCCUCUUGCAGCUCUAUUCACCUCCUCGGUCAUGGAGUCUGUGGCAGGGGGCAGCAGGAACCAGUCCAUGCAGUUGAAGCUGAGGUCGAAACACGACACAUCAAGUUCCUCAGAAACUCUGCCAAUGCACAUGAUGUCCGGUUUAUAACCUAUACUGCAGCCAAUCAUUCAAGAGAACUCCAAACGGUUUGACUUCACCUUUCUGGAGCUGCCAUGUCAUCAAUCUAUUCAUACUAUGUGGUGGAGUAAAGGUCAGAAAUCUCUCUAUACUUUGACUUUGAUUAUCAUUCUACUAAAGGAGGAUCCGCCUUUUUCACUUGGGUUCAAAUAAUUGACUAGCUUUCGAGCCUUGCACAACAAUCGUCAUAAAUACAAAUAUCUGUGUGAACAUCUGAGUGACCUAUUUGGACAAGGAUGCACCAAACCGCUCCCAGUAUGCAUGUAAUAAAAUCAAACCUCAGAUCAGACUUUACACACCCAGUACUACAGAACGGAGCCAGUGAAUCUGCGGUGCGUUCGAUAUCAAGUUAAAGUUUUGUGUGUGGUUUUGGAGCUGUAUGACGUCAAUCUUGCUGUUGCUGCUGGACAGAGCUUCUUCCCAGGCUGCUGCACCCUGAACAUCCACAUCCCUCCUGCUCCACCGAACCCACAGAUGACUCUCUUCCAAAGCAGCAACUCAUCCUCGGCGCCACUUGAGAAUAUCUGCAAGACAUUAGUGCCCCCGCAUCCUGACCCCGUGCAGCUCUUUCAUAUGACUUUGGAGAGAGAAGAAGUACAGCCAUAUCAGACAGAUGAUGGGCGCGGCCAGAGCUUGAUUGACAGCUGCCAGGUGGACCUGACGAUCCAGCCGAGCAGGCAGCAGCAGAGCGAGCACAUGCCAUACGAAUGAUGUAAAGCAGUAACCCUGGUAAGCGCAGCAUCUCCAUCCCGGAGCCGACAAGGGCAGCCGUGAUCACGUAGUUGACGAAGAACGCUCCUUGGUCAGAGUUUCAUAAUUGGAUGACGGUUGGCGGACCCUCCCGCAGCAGCUUGUGCCGCCACACUCGAGUGCAUUGAAGUCUUUCAGAAUGCUGAGAUUGGGCGCAGCAGCGGAGGUGACCACACAAUCGGGGGUUAAUCAGCUCACGUUUUCCUGUAGUCUCUAAAACACGCUCGUAGAAGCGCAGGUUUUUUCCAGCUCUCAUCCUGAAGUUAACAAAAAUAAACACAUACAAGUCCUUUCCAGCUAAGUGACGUUUGAAACAUAUUUUGAAGGUCAGAAUGUGCUUUGCAUGUUGGUAAUCAUAAA
Molecule: long non-coding RNA, 1366 nt
Organism: Notolabrus celidotus (New Zealand spotty)
Lineage: Eukaryota; Metazoa; Chordata; Actinopteri; Labriformes; Labridae
Exons: 7
Source: RefSeq, a predicted model, not a curated record